GCCCGUGUGGCUCAGUGGUAGAGCACCCCCUUGGUAAGGGGGAGGUCAUGCGUUCGAUCCGCAUCACGGGCACCA
This 75-nucleotide transfer RNA is filed under the name Duodenibacillus sp. Its description in RNAcentral is "tRNA-Thr". It matches the Rfam family "tRNA". Rfam says of the family: Transfer RNA (tRNA) molecules are approximately 80 nucleotides in length. The record is from RNAcentral. Lineage: Bacteria; Pseudomonadati; Pseudomonadota; Betaproteobacteria; Burkholderiales; Sutterellaceae. RNAcentral also lists the same sequence under 2 other names.